This 254-nucleotide ribosomal RNA is filed under the name uncultured bacterium. RNAcentral describes it as "partial 16S ribosomal RNA". It matches the Rfam family "Bacterial small subunit ribosomal RNA", at positions 524 to 776 of the family's 1533-position model. The record is from RNAcentral.
UACGGGGGGGGCAAGCGUUGUUCGGAAUUACUGGGCGUAAAGGGCUCGUAGGCGGUGUGUCGCGUCGGCCGUGAAAACCUGGGGCUUAACUCUGGGCUUGCGGUCGAUACGGGCAUCACUGGAGUUCGGCAGGGGAGACUGGAAUUCCUGGUGUAGCGGUGAAAUGCGCAGAUAUCAGGAGGAACACCGGUGGCGAAGGCGGGUCUCUGGGCCGAUACUGACGCUGAGGAGCGAAAGCGUGGGGAGCGAACAGG